UCUGUGGAUCGUAAACCUCUUUUUUCAGAGAAGAAUAAAUGACGGUAUCUGAAGAAUAAGCUCCGGCUAACCUCGUGCCAGCAGCCGCGGUAAUACNAGGGGAGCAAGCGUUAUCCGGAAUGAUUGGGCGUAAAGCGUCUGUAGGUGGUCUAGAAAGUCUGCUGUCAAAUACCAAGGCUCAACCUUGGACAGGCAGCAGAGUACCUUUAGACUUGAGUGUGGUAGAGGUAGAGGGAAUCCCUAGCGUAACAGUGAAAUGUGUAGAUUUUAGGGAGAACACCAGCGGCGAAGGCGCUCUACUGGGCCAAUACUGACACUGAGAGACGAAAGCUAAGGGAGCGAAUAGGAUUAGAUACCCUAGUAGUCUUAGCUGUAAACGAUGGAAACUAAGUGCUGCCGAAUGCAGUGCUGUAGCUAACGCGUUAAGUUU
Molecule: ribosomal RNA, 430 nt
Filed under: uncultured cyanobacterium
Lineage: Bacteria; Bacillati; Cyanobacteriota
Description: bacterial SSU rRNA
Rfam family: Bacterial small subunit ribosomal RNA
Source: RNAcentral